CUCCCCGGGAUCCGGGGAGGGGGGGGUGGCCUGAAGCUCCGCACUGCGCCGGCCGGCGGGGGCCAGAGGGCUCCGCAGGCAGGGCUGGCCCGCCCACGCCCACCCCGCCACCCGCGCCCCACGCGCAGCCGCUCACACCAGCAACUGCGCCCCGACACACAAUUCCACAAACGCAGCCCAAAAUGUGCACACCCACUGUACACACGGAUCCCCACUAGGACACGCCAUUCCGGGGACACAGCACCGUCCGCGGUCAUCCACAACUCCACGACGCAGACAGAGGCACCCCAACACACGCGCGCGCGCGCACACGCAGAGAGCCGGGUCGCAGCUCACGCCGGUGCACACGCCCGCACUCCCCGCAGCCCUACCUGCUCCGGCGCAGGACGCGGUCCGCCGGCUUCCCGAGCCCAAGUUCGGCGCGGCUGGCGCUGGGGCGGGCGCGGGCCGCUGCCCGGGACGAGCGCGCCGAGGCCGGGAGGGGUGGCUAGGAGCGCGGGCCUCCGAGCGCCCGCAGCCUCCGCGCCGGCCCUGCGCUCAUCGCCUCCCAGAAAGACAAAAGGAAGCCGGCGGCGAGGGAGCGAGCGAGGUGGAGGCGCCCGCCCGUCCGCCGGCCCGCCCGUCCGCCGCCUGCAGCCGCCGCGGCCCGCCUGCCAGCGCCGGGAAGGAAGGGACUCGAAGGCGGGACCCGGAGGCGGGGGCCGGGGGCGGGGCGUGCGGCGGGGCCGGCGCUCGAGUUCCCUGCGGCCCCGCCCCCGCCAGGCCCCGCCCCGCCAGGCCCCGCCCCCGGGCUCGGCCCCGCCCCCGGGCUCGGCCCCGCCCACCUGCCUGCGUGGGUCGCGCCCCCGGCCCUGGCCACGCCCCUCCCGACCCCGGGGUGCGGGCUUCCGAGCCUGCUCCCCGCUGCACCCUCCGCCCCGCCCGGGCCCCAGCCCGGUCCCGGUCCCGGGCGGAUCUCGGGGCCGGAGCGGAGCCGAGCACCGGUGCCGCCUCCCUAACCCUUGGCCUCUGGCCUGCGGGCGUGGGAGAGGCGGGGAGGCGGCACCGGGAGGGGCCAGCUCCGCGCCCCCCCUCCCCGGCCUCUGCAGGAAGUGCGGCCCGGGUGGCCCAGAAAGGGAAGAGGCCGGAGUCGCCCCAGGCUGUCUCCCAGCGCCCUCUGGCACCCUCACCGCCAGUCCCCUGCGCAGACACGCCCUACCAACCGCGCCUGCCUCUUUCGGGGAAGGAGCGGAGGACCGGGAGGAGGGACGCCUGAGUUCCAGUUCUGCUUGCCUUUGCCAAUUCUGGGCGAUUUCAGCAAGUCCCUGA
Molecule: long non-coding RNA, 1308 nt
Filed under: Canis lupus familiaris (dog)
Lineage: Eukaryota; Metazoa; Chordata; Mammalia; Carnivora; Canidae
Description: lncRNA (ENSCAFG00030005640.1)
Source: RNAcentral